This 379-nucleotide unclassified non-coding RNA is filed under the name soil metagenome. RNAcentral describes it as "partial contains 5.8S ribosomal RNA, internal transcribed spacer 2, and large subunit ribosomal RNA". The stretch from base 1 to 120 matches the Rfam family "5.8S ribosomal RNA", at positions 35 to 154 of the family's 154-position model. The record is from RNAcentral.
GAUGAAGAACGCAGCGAAAUGCGAUAAGUAAUGUGAAUUUCAGAAUUCAGUGAAUCAUCGAAUCUUUGAACGCACCUUGCACCCUUUGGCAUUCCGAAGGGUAUGCUCGUUUGAGUGUCAUUGUGCCCUCACACUUCCAAUCUUUGGAUUGGGAGCAGUGGACUUGGGUGUUGCUGCUUACUGUGGCUCACCUCAAAUCGAUUCGUGCACCUCUUGGUUGGACAUAGUACGGCGUGAUAAGUGUCUUCGCCGGCACCUCAGUAGAGGGUGGCUGAUCAGGAGCUCUGUGCUUCAAACCGUCCUCGGACAACAACUGACAACUUGACCUCAAAUCGAGUAGGACUACCCGCUGAACUUAAGCAUAUCAAUAAGCGGAGGA